This 433-nucleotide ribosomal RNA is filed under the name uncultured bacterium. RNAcentral's name for it is "partial 16S ribosomal RNA". It matches the Rfam family "Bacterial small subunit ribosomal RNA", at positions 29 to 507 of the family's 1533-position model. The record is from RNAcentral.
AACGAACGCUGGCGGCAUGCCUAACACAUGCAAGUCGAACGAGACCUUCGGGUCUAGUGGCGCACGGGUGCGUAACGCGUGGGAAUCUGCCCUUGGGUUCGGAAUAACAGUUGGAAACGACUGCUAAUACCGGAUGAUGACGUAAGUCCAAAGAUUUAUCGCCCAAGGAUGAGCCCGCGUAGGAUUAGCUAGUUGGUGAGGUAAAGGCUCACCAAGGCGACGAUCCUUAGCUGGUCUGAGAGGAUGAUCAGCCACACUGGGACUGAGACACGGCCCAGACUCCUACGGGAGGCAGCAGUGGGGAAUAUUGGACAAUGGGCGAAAGCCUGAUCCAGCAAUGCCGCGUGAGUGAUGAAGGCCUUAGGGUUGUAAAGCUCUUUUACCCGGGAUGAUAAUGACAGUACCGGGAGAAAAAGCUCCGGCUAACUCCGUG